GCAAAUUACCCAAUCUAGACAGUAGGAGGUGGUGAAGAAAAUUACUAAGUGGCGGUCUUGAGUACCCCUCUUGGAGUGAACGUAACUUACACAAUUCGUUGAAAAACAACUGGAGGGCAAGUCCUGGUGCCCACAGCCGCGGUAAUUCCCGCUCCUGUAGUUUGCUUUAAAGUUGUUGCGUUUAAAACGCUCGUAGUUGGAUCAUGCAUUCACCACAGUAGUCCCUGCAGAAAGCCCUGUGUGCGCCGUAUCUCAAAGGGAUGCUGUGCCCCUGCUGUGACAAAAAUUGCUGGCGUGGGUUAAUUAAUCGUGAGAGAAAGGGUCAAUUAAUUUUCCCGAGGGAUGGGUGAAUAAAAUAGAGUGGUCAAAGCAGGGGCCACGCCUGAAUGUUGUAGCAUGGGACGAACAAACGUGUAUACGCGUAUAUCGUGCGAAGUGAAUGUGCGUCUGGUGCGUGUACUUGGCUGACGUUACACUUCACCCACCAAGUAAUAGCGGUGGGUUUUAUAUACGGUGAUGAUUAAGAGGAGCGGUUGGGGGCAUCGGUAUUUGGCCGCGAGAGGUGAAAUUCAAGGACCGUCCAAGGACUAACAAAUGCAAAGGCAUUUGUCCAGACCGUUUCCAUUAAUCAAGAACGAAAGUGGGAGGUUCGAAGACGAUCAGAUACCGUCGUAGUUCCCACCGUAAACUAUGCCGACUUGGGAUCAGUCCAGAGAUAUCACAAGCUCCAAAUUGGUCGCCAAGGGAAACUUCAAGUUUUUCGGUUACGGGGAGAGUAUGGUCGCAAGUCUGAAAUUUAAAGGAAUUGACGGAAGGGCACCACCAGGGGUGGAGCCUGCGGCUUAAUUUGACUCAACACGGGGAAACUUACCUGGUCCAGGACGUCGAUAGGGAGAACAACCGGACUGAUAGUAUCUUUGUUGGAUGCGG
This 930-nucleotide ribosomal RNA is filed under the name Myxobolus sp. RNAcentral's name for it is "SSU rRNA". It matches the Rfam family "Eukaryotic small subunit ribosomal RNA", at positions 436 to 1270 of the family's 1831-position model. The record is from RNAcentral. Lineage: Eukaryota; Metazoa; Cnidaria; Myxozoa; Bivalvulida; Myxobolidae.